CCUACGGGGUGCAGCAGUGGGGAAUCUUGCGCAAUGGUCGAAAGACUGACGCAGCGACGCCGCGUGCGGGAGGAAGCCCUUCGGGGUGUAAACCGCUGUUACUCGGGACGAACUUCCCGAUUUAUCGGGAUUGACGGUACCGGGGGAGGAAGCACCGGCUAACUCUGUGCCAGCAGCCGCGGUAAUACAGAGGGUGCGAGCGUUGUCCGGAAUCACUGGGCGUAAAGGGCGCGCAGGCGGCUUUUCAAGCGAAAUCUCGGUGGUUAACUCCGAGGCUGCCGUGCGAACUGGGAGGCUUGAGUCUGGUAGAGGUCGAUGGAAUUCCGGGUGUAGCGGUGGAAUGCGUAGAGAUCCGGAAGAACACCGGUGGCGAAGGCGGUCGACUGGGCCAGAACUGACGCUGAGGCGCGACAGCGUGGGGAGCAAACAGGAUUAGAUACCCCAGUAGUC
Molecule: ribosomal RNA, 450 nt
Filed under: uncultured bacterium
Lineage: Bacteria
Description: partial 16S ribosomal RNA
Rfam family: Bacterial small subunit ribosomal RNA
Source: RNAcentral